GGUGAGUAACGCGUGGGUAACCUACCCUGUACACACGGAUAACAUACCGAAAGGUAUGCUAAUACGGGAUAAUAUAUUUGAGAGGCAUCUCUUGAAUAUCAAAGGUGAGACAGUACAGGAUGUACCCGCGUCUGUUUAGCUAGUUGGUAAGGUAACGGCUUACCCAGGCGACGAUCAGUAGCCGACCUGAGCGGGUGAUCGGCCACAUUGGAACUGAGACACGGUCCAAACUCCUACGGGAGGCAGCCGUGGGGAAUAUUGCACAAUGGGCGACAGCCUGAUGCAGCAACGCCGCGUGAGUGAUGAAGGCCUUCGGGUCGUAAAACUCUGUCCUCAAGGCAGAUAAUGACGGUACUUGAGGAGGAAGACCCGCCUAACUACGUGCCAGCAGCCGAGGUAAUACGUAGGGGGCUAGCGGUAUCCGGAUUUACUGGGCGGAAAGGGUGCGGAG
Molecule: ribosomal RNA, 451 nt
Filed under: Clostridioides difficile
Lineage: Bacteria; Bacillati; Bacillota; Clostridia; Peptostreptococcales; Peptostreptococcaceae
Description: bacterial SSU rRNA
Rfam family: Bacterial small subunit ribosomal RNA
Source: RNAcentral